RNAcentral lists this ribosomal RNA (250 nucleotides) under uncultured bacterium. RNAcentral's name for it is "partial 16S ribosomal RNA". It matches the Rfam family "Bacterial small subunit ribosomal RNA", at positions 355 to 618 of the family's 1533-position model. The record is from RNAcentral.
UCGAGAAUCUUCCGCAAUGGGCGAAAGCCUGACGGAGCGACACCGCGUGAUGGAUGAAGUGCUUCGGUAUGUAAACAUCUUUUAUAGGGGAAGAAGUAUAUUGACGGUACCCUAUGAAUAAGGACCUGCCAAACUCGUGCCAGCAGCAGCGGUAAUACGAGUGGUCCAAGCGUUAUCCGGAAUUAUUGGGCGUAAAGCGUGCGUAGGUGGAAUUAUUAGUCGGGUGUUUAACCCACGGGCUCAACCUGUG